RNAcentral lists this ribosomal RNA (689 nucleotides) under uncultured bacterium. RNAcentral's name for it is "bacterial SSU rRNA". It matches the Rfam family "Bacterial small subunit ribosomal RNA", at positions 28 to 716 of the family's 1533-position model. The record is from RNAcentral.
AUUGAACGCUGGCGGCAUGCCUUACACAUGCAAGUCGAACGGUAGAGUAGCAAUACUCGAGAGUGGCGAACGGGUGAGUAAUAUAUCGGAACGUGCCCAGUCGUGGGGGAUAACGUAGAGAAAUUUACGCUAAUACCGCAUACGAUCUACGGAUGAAAGCGGGGGACUCGCAAGAGCCUCGCGCGAUUGGAGCGGCUGAUAUCAGAUUAGGUUGUUGGUGAGGUAAAAGCUCACCAAGCCGACGAUCUGUAGCUGGUUUGAGAGAACGACCAGCCACACUGGGACUGAGACACGGCCCAGACUCCUACGGGAGGCAGCAGUGGGGAAUUUUGGACAAUGGGCGAAAGCCUGAUCCAGCAAUGCCGCGUGUGGGAAGAAGGCCUUCGGGUUGUAAACCACUUUUGUACGGAACGAAACGUCUCGCUUUAAUACAGCGGGCUAAUGACGGUACCGUAAGAAUAAGCACCGGCUAACUACGUGCCAGCAGCCGCGGUAAUACGUAGGGUGCGAGCGUUAAUCGGAAUUACUGGGCGUAAAGCGUGCGCAGGCGGUUAUAUAAGACAGUUGUGAAAUCCCCGGGCUCAACCUGGGAAUUGCAUCUGUGACUGUAUAGCUAGAGUACGGUAGAGGGGGAUGGAAUUCCGCGUGUAGCAGUGAAAUGCGUAGAUAUGCGGAGGAACACCGAUGGC